AGGUGACAACUGUCUCUGUCGCAGGCUCCGGCGGGGGCGCAGGAGGUCGCCCGGCGCGUCACUGUCGGGUCGGCGAGCCACGGGGGCCGCCGCAGCACCAUGGCGACCACCGUCAGCACUCAGCGCGGGCCGGUGUACAUCGGUGAGCUCCCGCACGACUUCCUCCGCAUCACGCCCACACAGCAGCAGCGGCAGGUCCAGCUGGACGCCCAGGCGGCCCAGCAGCUGCAGUACGGAGGCGCAGUGGGCACCGUGGGCCGACUGAACAUCACGGUGGUACAGGUUUUACAGUUUUAGGUUUUAUAUUUGAACCUGCCAUCCAUGUUGAGUUUGUUUGCUGAACAAUCAUCUUACUUGCCACGGUCUUCUGUCUUAUUCUGAACACACGUUCACUCCCACCCCGAGGACCUCAAAUGUCCCCGCCCAGCUGAGCGCCUGGCCUGAAGUCGAAUCUCAUAGUCUACAUGUGAUGUGGCUCCUUGUGAUUGGGAGACACAAGAAAGACAAGUUCCAGUCCCCAAAACCCCACGUACUCCGAUAGCACAGGCAGGGCUGCUGCCU
RNAcentral lists this small RNA (561 nucleotides) under Pan troglodytes (chimpanzee). RNAcentral describes it as "processed transcript". The record is from RNAcentral. Lineage: Eukaryota; Metazoa; Chordata; Mammalia; Primates; Hominidae.